GAUGAACGCUAGCUACAGGCUUAACACAUGCAAGUCGAGGGGCAGCAUUGGAGUAGCAAUACUUCAGAUGGCGACCGGCGCACGGGUGAGUAACACGUAUCCAACCUGCCGCUUACUCGGGGAUAGCCUUUCGAAAGAAAGAUUAAUACCCGAUGGUAUAAAGAGUUCGCAUGUUCUCUUUAUUAAAGAAUUUCGGUAAGCGAUGGGGAUGCGUUCCAUUAGAUUGUUGGCGGGGUAACGGCCCACCAAGUCUACGAUGGAUAGGGGUUCUGAGAGGAAGGUCCCCCACAUUGGAACUGAGACACGGUCCAAACUCCUACGGGAGGCAGCAGUGAGGAAUAUUGGUCAAUGGACGAGAGUCUGAACCAGCCAAGUAGCGUGAAGGAUGACUGCCCUAUGGGUUGUAAACUUCUUUUACAAGGGAAUAAAGUGAGGGACGUGUUCCUUUUUGUAUGUACCUUAUGAAUAAGGAUCGGCUAACUCCGUGCCAGCAGCCGCAGUAA
Molecule: ribosomal RNA, 503 nt
Filed under: uncultured bacterium
Lineage: Bacteria
Description: partial 16S ribosomal RNA
Rfam family: Bacterial small subunit ribosomal RNA
Source: RNAcentral